CACUACGUACCUGCAAGUGCUUCAUGUACGUUUGUUGGAAGUAGCUCCGCAAAUGCAAAGGGCAGUAGUCGUUGCAUAAAGACAUGACAAUCAUGACUCUUCAUCCCGGAGAACUUUUGACCCUUUUCAACACAUCUAGAGAGAUUCAAAACAUACCCAUCGGGGAACUUCACUUCUGAUGCCACCCAGUUGAACAACAC
Molecule: long non-coding RNA, 200 nt
Filed under: Brassica napus (rape)
Lineage: Eukaryota; Viridiplantae; Streptophyta; Magnoliopsida; Brassicales; Brassicaceae
Description: long non-coding RNA (BNAP_LNC018407)
Source: RNAcentral